UUAGAGUUUGAUCCUGGCUCAGGAUGAACGCUAGCGGCAGGCUUAACACAUGCAAGUCGAGGGGCAGCAGGGAGUAGCAAUACUCUGCUGGCGACCGGCGCACGGGUGCGUAACGCGUAUGCAACCUACCUUAAACAGGGGAAUAACUCAGGGAAACUUGAACUAAUGCCCCAUAUUCUUGCGGGAUCGCAUGGUCCUGCAAGGAAAGCCUUGGUGGUUUUAGAUGGGCAUGCGUGACAUUAGGUAGUUGGCGGGGCAACGGCCCACCAAGCCGACGAUGUCUAGGGGAACUGAGAGGUUGGUCCCCCACACUGGAACUGAGACACGGUCCAGACUCCUACGGGAGGCAGCAGUGAGGAAUAUUGGACAAUGGUCGGAAGACUGAUCCAGCCAUGCCGCGUGAAGGAAUAAGGUCCUAUGGAUUGUAAACUUCUUUUGUACGGGAGCAAUAAGGGCGUCGAGACGUCCGAUGAGAGUACCGUACGAAUAAGCAUCGGCUAACUCCGUGCCAGCAGCCGCGGUAAUACGGAGGAUGCGAGCGUUAUCCGGAUUUAUUGGGUUUAAAGGGUGCGUAGGCGGAAUGCCAAGUCAGCGGUGAAACGCACGUGCUUAACACGUGACCUGCCGUUGAAACUGGUGAUCUGGAAUACGGAUGCUGUGGGAGGAAUGUGUGGUGUAGCGGUGAAAUGCAUAGAUAUCGCACAGAACACCGAUUGCGAAGGCAUCUCACAAAUCCGUUAUUGACGCUGAGGCACGAAAGUGUGGGGAUCAAACAGGAUUAGAUACCCUGGUAGUCCACACUGUAAACGAUGAUGACUCGCUGUCGGCGAUAUACAGUCGGUGGCCAAGCGAAAGCGAUAAGUCAUCCACCUGGGGAGUACGACCGCAAGGUUGAAACUCAAAGGAAUUGACGGGGGCCCGCACAAGCGGAGGAACAUGUGGUUUAAUUCGAUGAUACGCGAGGAACCUUACCCGGGCUCUAACGGUGCAGGAAGAGAACUAGAGAUAGUGACGUCCUUCGGGACCUGCAUCGAGGUGCUGCAUGGUUGUCGUCAGCUCGUGCCGUGAGGUGUCGGCUUAAGUGCCAUAACGAGCGCAACCCUUGUCGUCAGUUACCAGCAAGUAGCGUUGGGGACUCUGGCGAGACUGCCACCGUAAGGUGAGAGGAAGGGGGGGAUGACGUCAAAUCAGCACGGCCCUUACGUCCGGGGCGACACACGUGUUACAAUGGUGGGUACAGAGGGCAGCUAUCCGGCGACGGAGUGCAAAUCUCGAAAACCCAUCUCAGUUCGGAUCGGAGUCUGCAACUCGACUCCGUGAAGUUGGAUUCGCUAGUAAUCGCGCAUCAGCCAUGGCGCGGUGAAUACGUUCCCGGGCCUUGCACUCACCGCCCGUCA
Molecule: ribosomal RNA, 1397 nt
Filed under: uncultured bacterium
Lineage: Bacteria
Description: 16S ribosomal RNA
Rfam family: Bacterial small subunit ribosomal RNA
Source: RNAcentral